Molecule: long non-coding RNA, 1321 nt
Organism: Oreochromis aureus
Lineage: Eukaryota; Metazoa; Chordata; Actinopteri; Cichliformes; Cichlidae
Source: Ensembl
CUAUGGGUGAAAGAGCUUAAAUGCCCGGAUGCUGAAUGGAGGCGUAGGUGCGAGGGAGCUCCGGAUUGGCUGCGCCGGAGUGAGCAGCUGAAGGGAGUUGAGAUGAUGAUGAUGAUGGAGACGAUGUGCAGGUGUGUCUCCCAGGUUGAAUUUACGCAGGCUUCUAUGGGCAGAAAUCUGUGCCAUCAGAAACUGAAUUUGAAUAAGUUAAAUUUGAAUCUGAAUUGUAACUUGAAUAAAUGCUUUUGAAAACUGAAUUUGAAUUAGUCGAAUUUGAAAUUGAAUUUAUGGUUUGAAAAUGAUCAUCACUAAAUUGAAAUUGAAUUUUAUAUAUUGAAAAUGAAUUCAUUUGCUUUGAAACUGCAUUUCAUCCUUUAAAAAUUCAGCUCUCGAAUAAUUUCAGUUUCACUCCCACCAUUCAGUUUCAGUUCUACAAUUCAAUUUCAGUUCCAAAAUUCAGUUUUUUAGGACUUACAUCCGGUUCCGGUUCAAGCGCAGAGUAAUAGAACUACAUUUUACAAGCGCACCGAACGUGUUACUGACGGGAAUCCACAGCGUCUUGAGCUGAAUUAAGACUUCAGAAGUCAUUCGUCAUGUCGAAUGACCAGCGGAUAAACUCUCAGGUGAAGAGCCCGAGGCUGGUGACAGUCCAGUUCUACUCCAAGUACAUCCUUACGGUGGCUCACAGGACAAGGCUACAUUCCUGUCCUGCCAGAAGAGAAGAGAAACUUCAGAGUCUUCAUGCAGUUCAACCACACCUGUCAUAUUCCGUAUGACAGGGGUCUCAAACUCCAGUCCUCGAGGGCCGGUGUCAUGCAACUUUUCCAUGUGUCCCUGGUGCAACACACCUGAAUACAAUUAGUAGGUUAUUAGCAAGAGUAUAGAACUUGACUGCAUGCUGAGGUGGCAACCCCUAACCCUACCUACCUACUCAAGUAAAUGUAUUUGGAAACAUGUACUUCUAAAAUACUUUUAUUGCACCAUGUUCAUUCACUCAUGAGCUGCUGUAACGUGAAUCAAAUGGCUGAAUUGCCAACUCAGCAUGCAUUCAAGUUCUAUACUCUUGCUAAUGAUCUACUAGGUGUGUUGCAAAAGUUGCAGGACAGCGGCCCUCGAGGACUGGAGUUUGAGACCCCUGCCGUAUGGUGUUCAUGCAGUUUUCUACCCCACAGUUACAGCAUGUCUGAUUGCCUGUUCAGCAUAUGCAAAAAUAUAUGAUGAGUUUAAGCAUGUGAUGACAAAGGCCUUCCAUUAUGGUGUUUGUCAUCACGUCACAGACAUCUGGAUGAUCAUUUGGAAUAAACAAAAAACUAAAAACUUG